GCCAGAGUGGUGAAAUUGGUAGACGCAGAGGACUCAAAAUCCUCCGUUCGCAAGGACGUGUCGGUUCGAUUCCGACCUCUGGCA
RNAcentral lists this transfer RNA (84 nucleotides) under Candidatus Ancaeobacter aquaticus. RNAcentral describes it as "tRNA-Leu". It matches the Rfam family "tRNA". From Rfam's summary of the family: Transfer RNA (tRNA) molecules are approximately 80 nucleotides in length. The record is from RNAcentral. Lineage: Bacteria; Pseudomonadati; Candidatus Auribacterota; Candidatus Ancaeobacteria; Candidatus Ancaeobacterales; Candidatus Ancaeobacteraceae.